GGGCCUGCGUUUCAUUAGCUAGUUGGUAGGGUAAUGGCCUACCAAGGCAACGAUGAGUAGCUGGUCUGAGAGGAUGAUCAGCCACACUGGAACUGAAACACGGUCCAGACUCCUACGGGAGGCAGCAGUGGGGAAUAUUGCGCAAUGGGCGAAAGCCUGACGCAGCAACGCCGUGUGAGGGAUGAAGGCUUUCGGGUCGUAAACCUCUGUCGGAAGGGAAGAACGGGCAUUGGUCUAAUAGGCCUUUGUUUUGACGGUACCUUUAGAGGAAGCACCGGCUAACUCCGUGCCAGCAGCCGCGGUAAUACGGAGGGUGCAAGCGUUAUUCGGAAUUACUGGGCGUAAAGCGCACGUAGGCCGCUUUGUAAGUCAGGGGUGAAAUCCCACGGCUCAACCGUGGAACUGCCUUUGAAACUGCAGAGCUUGAAUCCUGGAGAGGGUGGCGGAAUUCCUGGUGUAGGAGUGAAAUCCGUAGAUAUCAGGAGGAACACCGGUGGCGAAGGCGGCCACCUGGACAGGCAUUGACGCUGAGGUGCGAAAGUGUGGGGAGCAAACAGGAUUAGAUACCCUGGUAGUCCACACCGUAAACGAUGAACACUAGAUGCCGGGG
Molecule: ribosomal RNA, 610 nt
Filed under: uncultured delta proteobacterium
Lineage: Bacteria; Deltaproteobacteria
Description: bacterial SSU rRNA
Rfam family: Bacterial small subunit ribosomal RNA
Source: RNAcentral